AAUGAACGCUGGCGGCAUGCCUAACACAUGCAAGUCGAACGAAGGCCCUGCUUCGGCAGGAUACCUUAGUGGCGGACGGGUGAGUAACGCGUGGGAACCUGCCCUGGAGUGCGGGACAACAGUUGGAAACGACUGCUAAUACCGCAUAAUCCCUGAGGGGGAAAGGCUUCGGCCGCUCCUGGAUGGUCCCGCGUCUGAUUAGCUAGUAGGUGGGGUAAUGGCUCACCUAGGCGACGAUCAGUAGCUGGUUUGAGAGGAUGAUCAGCCACACUGGGACUGAGACACGGCCCAGACUCCUACGGGAGGCAGCAGUGGGGAAUAUUGGACAAUGGGGGAAACCCUGAUCCAGCAAUGCCGCGUGAGUGAAGAAGGCCUUAGGGUUGUAAAGCUCUUUCAACUGUGAAGAUGAUGACGGUAGCAGUAGAAGAAGCCCCGGCUAACUCCG
This 445-nucleotide ribosomal RNA is filed under the name uncultured Rhodospirillaceae bacterium. Its description in RNAcentral is "bacterial SSU rRNA". It matches the Rfam family "Bacterial small subunit ribosomal RNA", at positions 29 to 505 of the family's 1533-position model. The record is from RNAcentral. Lineage: Bacteria; Pseudomonadati; Pseudomonadota; Alphaproteobacteria; Rhodospirillales; Rhodospirillaceae.